This 471-nucleotide ribosomal RNA is filed under the name uncultured bacterium. RNAcentral's name for it is "bacterial SSU rRNA". It matches the Rfam family "Bacterial small subunit ribosomal RNA", at positions 8 to 526 of the family's 1533-position model. The record is from RNAcentral.
AGGGUUUGAUUAUGGCUCAGGAUGAACGCUGGCGGCGUGCUUAACACAUGCAAGUCGAACGAACCUUCGGGUUAGUGGCGGACGGGUGAGUAACGCGUGAGAAUCUGCCCUCAGGAGGGGGAUAACGGUUGGAAACGACCGCUAAUACCCCAUAUGCCUAUUGGUGAAAUGAAUUUCGCCUGAGGAUGAGCUCGCGUCUGAUUAGCUAGUUGGUGAGGUAAUGGCUCACCAAGGCUUCGAUCAGUAGCUGGUCUGAGAGGAUGAUCAGCCACACUGGGACUGAGACACGGCCCAGACUCCUACGGGAGGCAGCAGUGGGGAAUUUUCCGCAAUGGGCGAAAGCCUGACGGAGCAACGCCGCGUGAGGGACGAAGGCCUCUGGGCUGUAAACCUCUUUUCUCAAGGAAGAAGAUAUGACGGUACUUGAGGAAUAAGCCACGGCUAAUUCCGUGCCAGCAGCCGCGGUAAUAC